GGUGGAGCGACUGAAGCCCUCGGGCAGCUACCUCUCAGGCUGCC
RNAcentral lists this ribosomal RNA (44 nucleotides) under Rhodomonas sp. CCMP768. RNAcentral describes it as "partial Microsporidia small subunit ribosomal RNA". Lineage: Eukaryota; Cryptophyceae; Pyrenomonadales; Pyrenomonadaceae. The record is from RNAcentral.